This 497-nucleotide ribosomal RNA is filed under the name uncultured bacterium. Its description in RNAcentral is "partial 16S ribosomal RNA". It matches the Rfam family "Bacterial small subunit ribosomal RNA", at positions 28 to 507 of the family's 1533-position model. The record is from RNAcentral.
GAUGAACGCUGGCGGCGUGCCUAAUACAUGCAAGUCGAGCGAACAGACGAGGAGCUUGCUCCUCUGACGUUAGCGGCGGACGGGUGAGUAACACGUGGAUAACCUACCUAUAAGGCUGGGAUAACUUCGGGAAACCGGAGCUAAUACCGGAUAAUAUAUUGAACCGCAUGGUUCAAUAGUGAAAGACGGUUUUGCUGUCACUUAAAGAUGGAUCCGCGCCGCAUUAGCUAGUUGGUAAGGUAACGGCUUACCAAGGCAACGAUGCGUAGCCGACCUGAGAGGGUGAUCGGCCACACUGGAACUGAGACACGGUCCAGACUCCUACGGGAGGCAGCAGUAGGGAAUCUUCCGCAAUGGGCGAAAGCUUGACGGAGCAACGCCGCGUGAGUGAUGAAGGUCUUCGGAUCGUAAAACUCUGUUAUUAGGGAAGAACAAAUGUGUAAGUAACUAUGCACGUCUUGACGGUACCUAAUCAGAAAGCCACGGCUAACUACGUG